ACGAAGAAGAAGAAGAAGAAGAAGGAGAGAGAGAGAGAGAAUGUGGGAAUCGAUAUGCUUGACGCUGAUGGCGACGGCGGGGAACAACAUCGGCAAGGUUCUACAGAAGAAGGGUACCGUGAUCCUCCCUCGCCUCUCCUUCAAGCUCAAGGUGAUCAGAGCGUAUGUUUUGAACAAAUUGUGGAUUAUAGGCUUUCUUAUGGAUAUAUGUGGCGCUGUCUUGAUGCUGAGGGCAUUGUCUCAAGCUCCAGUUUCAGUAAUACAACCAGUUUCUGGUUGUGGACUUGCUAUACUUUGUGUCUUCUCUCAUUUCUAUCUCAAAGAAGUGAUGAAUGCUCUUGAUUGGGUGGGGAUUGCAUUGGCUGGGGCUGGAACAAUAGGAGUUGGUAUUGGAGGGGAUAAGCAAAAUGGUUCGACAGUCUCUCUUUUCCACUUACCUUUGCUGGGCAUCUCAGUUGCCUUGUUGUUUGCUCUUCUGAACACAUGGCUUCGCAUCUACAAGAGUCGAAGGCAGGAGCAGGAGCUGAUGCAUUCUGAAGUAAUUGAGGAAAUUAUAUAUGGCUUGGAAUCGGGCAUUUUAUUUGGGAUGGCAUCAGUAAUAUCAAAGAUGGGUUUUAUGUUUUCAGAGGAGGGCUUCUCAAAGAUCAUGGUACCAAUAUGCAUUUCCAUUAGCAUCUGCUGUAGCGCUUCUGGGUUUGUUUAUCAGACCCAAGGUCUGAAACAUGGAAGGGCUAUUGUGGUAUCCACAUGUGCGGCUGUGGCAUCAAUUAUUACUGGUGUUCUGGCUGGUAUGUUUGCUCUGGGUGAACAUAUGCCUUCUUCUCCCGUUGCUCGAGUGGCUCUUUCACUUGGAUGGAUCUUUAUCACUCUCGGGGUUAUUCUUCUGGUGAGUUCAGCUCGAUUGAUGGCCCUGCUACCUAGGCCGUUGCGACGACAUCUGAGAAGAAGCAACCUUGAGAAUCACACUUUAAGAAGAUCUGGUUCCUUACGUAUUAAGGAUCCUAGCCCAAGUGCAGUAAUUCAUGCAUCGACGCUGCAUCAUCUGAUAACAUCUCCAUCAAAAGAGAAAGCCUAGUGAAGUCAUUAAACAAAUAAGAAGUACAUGUUGACCUUUUCUUUUAUUUCUUGGACAACGGUCAGCUUGCUUUUAGACCCUGCGCUAACCUUGUCAUCUUCCCUCCAAUUCCCUAUCGAGGGAAGUGAAGUCUUCUGGGCUUGCUUGUUUACCAGAUCACGUGUCGCCUGCGAACACUCUAAAAACCAGAGUCACGGAAGCUGGAUGCAUUCUCGCGUGAUCCUGUGUCUGAAAAGAGAUUUUAACGAUGGAUUGAAGCAUCGCAGUAUAUGUUGCUUCCACUUCUUAUCGGGUCGGUUGUUCAAGUGGUGAGGAUCUCCUG
Molecule: non-coding RNA, 1397 nt
Organism: Musa acuminata subsp. malaccensis (wild Malaysian banana)
Lineage: Eukaryota; Viridiplantae; Streptophyta; Magnoliopsida; Zingiberales; Musaceae
Source: RefSeq, a predicted model, not a curated record